RNAcentral lists this ribosomal RNA (459 nucleotides) under uncultured Clostridium sp. Its description in RNAcentral is "bacterial SSU rRNA". It matches the Rfam family "Bacterial small subunit ribosomal RNA", at positions 1053 to 1518 of the family's 1533-position model. Lineage: Bacteria; Bacillati; Bacillota; Clostridia; Eubacteriales; Clostridiaceae. The record is from RNAcentral.
CGUCAGCUCGUGUCGUGAGAUGUUGGGUUAAGUCCCGCAACGAGCGCAACCCUUGUUUCUAGUUGCUACGCAAGAGCACUCUAGAGAGACUGCCGUUGACAAAACGGAGGAAGGUGGGGACGACGUCAAAUCAUCAUGCCCCUUAUGACCUGGGCCACACACGUACUACAAUGGCUGUAAACAGAGGGAAGCAAAGCCGCGAGGUGGAGCAAAACCCUAAAAGCAGUCCCAGUUCGGAUCGCAGGCUGCAACCCGCCUGCGUGAAGUCGGAAUUGCUAGUAAUCGCGGAUCAGCAUGCCGCGGUGAAUACGUUCCCGGGCCUUGUACACACCGCCCGUCACACCAUGGGAGCCGGUAAUACCCGAAGCCAGUAGUUCAACCGCAAGGAGAGCGCUGUCGAAGGUAGGAUUGGCGACUGGGGUGAAGUCGUAACAAGGUAGCCGUAUCGGAAGGUGCGGC